RNAcentral lists this ribosomal RNA (253 nucleotides) under uncultured Eubacteriales bacterium. RNAcentral describes it as "uncultured Clostridiales bacterium partial 16S ribosomal RNA". It matches the Rfam family "Bacterial small subunit ribosomal RNA", at positions 524 to 776 of the family's 1533-position model. Lineage: Bacteria; Bacillati; Bacillota; Clostridia; Eubacteriales. The record is from RNAcentral.
UACGUAGGGGGCAAGCGUUAUCCGGAUUUACUGGGUGUAAAGGGAGCGUAGGCGGCUUAGUAAGUCAGAAGUGAAAGCCCGCAGCUCAACUGCGGGACUGCUUUUGAAACUGCCAAGCUAGAGUGUCGGAGAGGUAAGUGGAAUUCCUAGUGUAGCGGUGAAAUGCGUAGAUAUCAGGAGGAACACCGGUGGCGAAGGCGGCUUACUGGACGGCGUCUGACGUUGAGGCUCGAAAGCGUGGGGAGCGAACAGG